AAUGAAUCCGAAGAGGAGGAUCCCAGGGUGCGGGGGAAGCGGGAGUACGCACGCGACGAUGGAUCCGCUGCUGGAGGGGCUGGAGCCAGGUGCCACCGGGACCCCGGGGACGCAGCGCAUCAGCAACUCCUCCCUACUGAGCAGGACGCGCCGGACAAGCCUGCAGCGGGGCCGGGAAGAGCGUGCUUCCAGAGCACCGCUGCCCGAGGUCUAGCCGGCACCUUGCUUCUGGGUAGGCUGGGUCCCCCUCGGCGCGUGGACGCGGCUGUGUGCCUGUGCGCGGAGCGGGUGACCCGCACAGGUCACAAGCGUGAGACGGAGAGGCAGAAAAGAGCCAAGGCCGAGUGGCGUCUUCGGUCCCAGGGGCCCCGCAAGGCUGCAGCGCGGGGCUCCGCCCUCGGGGCUCCCAGCGAGGAAGAGCGCGGAAGUGCGCACGUCCGGGACCGCGGCCCGCAGUCUCCCAGCCCAGGCCCCCCGGAGCCCGCCCGAUCGAGAAGAGGAGAGAGAGACGGUCACGAGCACUGCCCCUCCCCUGGGUCGGGAAGCCAGCGUCCGGCCGAGGCCACAGCUGACCCGAAGGCGGGAGCGGGGGGCGCAGGACGUCGAGGCGCGGCACCACCGCGCACAGCGCCGGCGGCUGGGGUCUCCCUCAAGUCCGCUGCCUGGACGUGGGCCUGGGGCGCGCGUGGGCCCGGCGGAAACCUAAAACCCGCGCGCCUCCGGAGCCUCGGGGGUGGGGGCACGCGAGGCUCUUUACUUCCAACAGCCCUGCGCAUUCACGAGGGAGGAAAGGGCACAGAGAACCCACGCGACCCUCCCAGGUCACACAGCAGGAAGGUGGUAGGACCUCAAGGCUGGGAGAGGCGGGGCCGAAGGGGAGUGGCAAAUAGUUGUCCACGCUCCGAGAGGUGGAGAGGAGGGACCCGGCCGGCCGGAGGGCUUCUCCCCGACCCUGAGGGUCAGAGGCGAGGUCGCGCGGGAGUGAGGUCCAGAGAGGGUAGAUUCCCCACCGCCCCACAGCCUGGCUCGUUCCUGGCCCUGAUCUCCCCCGGGGCAAUCCGACCCGACCGGACCCUACCGGCCGGCGGGGAUCCUCUCCAGCCCCUGGCGUGCAUAGAGCCCCUCCCUCAGGAUCGGCCCCAAGGACACCCCGAGACUCCGCACCGCUGGACUCUAGCAGAUUUCCCGCUUCCUCAGCUUCCCGCCCGCCCGCAGGGGCUCUCGAGGUUCCGCCCAAACGCCGCCUCCUCCCGGCAGCCCUCCAGACUCCAACGCCUGUGA
RNAcentral lists this long non-coding RNA (1281 nucleotides) under Ursus americanus (American black bear). Its description in RNAcentral is "lncRNA (ENSUAMG00000005847.1)". Lineage: Eukaryota; Metazoa; Chordata; Mammalia; Carnivora; Ursidae. The record is from RNAcentral.